Molecule: unclassified non-coding RNA, 381 nt
Filed under: Bacillus sp. (in: firmicutes)
Lineage: Bacteria; Bacillati; Bacillota; Bacilli; Caryophanales; Bacillaceae
Description: Bacillus sp. (in: Bacteria) contains 16S-23S intergenic spacer region
Source: RNAcentral
UCCCCGUUAGCCGGGGCAGUCCCCCUAGAGUUCCCGGCAUUACCCGCUGGCAACAUAGGACAAGGGUUGCGCUCGUUGCGGGACUUAACCCAACAUCUCACGACACGAGCUGACGACAACCAUGCACCACCUGUCACUCUGUCCCCCGAAGGGGAACGUCCUAUCUCUAGGAGUGUCAGAGGAUGACAAGACCUGGUAAGGUUCUUCGCGUUGCUUCGAAUUAAACCACAUGCUCCACCGCUUGUGCGGGCCCCCGUCAAUUCCUUUGAGUUUCAGUCUUGCGACCGUACUCCCCAGGCGGAGUGCUUAAUGCGUUAGCUGCAGCACUAAAGGGCGGAAACCCUCUAACACUUAGCACUCAUCGUUUACGGCGUGGACUAC